Molecule: long non-coding RNA, 1349 nt
Organism: Vespa mandarinia (Asian giant hornet)
Lineage: Eukaryota; Metazoa; Arthropoda; Insecta; Hymenoptera; Vespidae
Source: RefSeq, a predicted model, not a curated record
UCUUUUUAUGUCGUUUCGCUUCUUCUACCUGCGCGCCAUCUUUCUUGAAAACUACUUUACCAACAGACUUUAGAUACGUACAUACGCCUUGAUACUUGAUAGACCAUUUUAUAUACCAAAAUUGCGGGAAACAUUCGUUAUUCUAAGAUCUAAAUUUAUAGUAAUUUAUAUUUAUUACGCCAAAUUCCUGCACGCUAUAUAAAUAUUAAAUUAGAAUAUAUAAAAUCAAUUGAAUUUGUCAAGACUUUCGUUAUGGUUUGAGCAAUUUUUUUUUUAAUAAGAAUAACAGCAACAAAAAUAAGUUUUAAUCUAGUGCUUUGAAAAUUAAACCUAUUCUUGAGUAUAUUUGGUGUGCAAAUUUCAUAAUAGCAUCGGAUUCACUAUAUCAGCUGUAGUUUUGACAUAUAGCAUAGAUAUUGAUAUGCAGAAAUUAUAAUUUAAUAAUAAAUGUACAUCAUGGCUUCCUCAAGAAGAAACUAUCUAAACCAUCCAAAUGUCUUUUCCUACUUGCAAAAGUCUCUGACUAUUGCAUUUUGAAAGAUAUUAAGAAACCUAUCCCUGAAUUUGUGAAGAGGGCAUAUUUUAGUUAUUUUCAUGUCAAACUUGGAGAUCAAGAAGGAAUCCUAAGAUCCUCAUUCAGAUUGCUAUUUUUGUCUUGUCAACAUCAAGAACAUCAAACGAAACAAUUGUAGCAAGUAGACAUAACCAGACCUAGAUUAAACAAGGAAGAUACAAACAAUAUGGAAAGACUAACAAUCAUGCAAGCAUCUGGUGUACGGAAAAUAUUACCUGUAUUGCCAUUUUGUAAGCCACACUAUCAAAGCUGAGGCAAUUACAUUGACAGAACCCACUGCAUCGGACAAUACAUGAAGGAACACACCACGCAUAUUCAUUUGACUUGCAUCAUGUGUAUGGCCAUGUGUUCUUUUUACUUGUGCCGUUGGUGGUCUGUAAGUGUUGUCAUUUUCAUUGUCAUCUGUGCCUACUAAUGUGCUUAGUCUGUUAUGACUACGUGAUAUACCAUGCGAAUGAUCGUGAGAACUUCCAUGUUCUGUAAUAAUAAAAUGUUAAAUAAGUAUUUAUAUUUCUUUUUCUAUUACGAAAAGAAAAAAAUGUGAUAUCCAUUUAUUUAGGCAAUUGAUUGAAAGUAGGAUAAUUGUUCCCAAAUAAAAAUAGGACGUUUCCUAUUUUCAAUAUUCUUUUAAUCAUUUUACAACGAUAAAAAUAAAGCGGAUAACUAAUCCAACAAAUUUAAGAAGCCACAUACAAAUCAUGUAUAAUUAAUUUAUGAUUAACUGACUACUUCGGAGCUCUUAUAACAGAUAAUACAAUAAAACAAUUUAAACUUA